GAACUUAAGCAUAUCAAUAAGCAGAGGAAAAGAAACUAACAAGGAUUCCCCUAGUAACUGCGAGUGAAGCGGGAAAAGCUCAAAUUUAAAAUCUGGUGGUCCCGAGUUGGCUGCCCGGGUUGUAAUCUAGAGAAGUGCUUUCCGCGCUGGACCGUGUACAAGUCUCUUGGAACGGAGCGUCGUAGAGGGUGACAAUCCCGUCUUUGACACGGACUGCCAGGGCUUAUGUGAUGCGCUCUCGAAGAGUCGAGUUGUUUGGGAAUGCAGCUCAAAAUGGGUGGUAAAUUCCAUCUAAAGCUAAAUAUGGGCGAGAGACCGAUAGCGAACAAGUACCGUGAGGGAAAGAUGAAAAGAACUUUGAAAAGAGAGUUAAACAGUACGUGAAAUUGUUGAAAGGGAAACGAUUCAAGUCAGUCGCGUUGGCCGGUAAUCAACCCUUGCGAAGGCGGGGGCUUACUUUCCGUCUGACGGGUCAGCAUCAAUUUUGACCGUCAGAUAAAGGUUUGGGGAACGUGGCAUCUUCGGAUGUGUUAUAGCCCCUUGUCAGAUGUGACGGUUGGGAUUGAGGAACUUGGCACGCCCGCAAAGGGUCGGGGCUUUUUGCCCACGUAACGUGCUUUGGAUGCUGGCAUAAUGGCUUGAACCGACCCGUCUUGAAACACGGACCAAGGAGUCUAACAUGCCUGCGAGUGUUUGGGUGGCAAACUCGAGCGCGAAGUGAAAGUGAAACUUGUCGAGAUCUCUGUCGUGGGGAGCACCGACGCCCGGACCUGACCUUUUGUGAAGGAUCCGCGGUUGAGCAUGCAUGUUGGGACCCGAAA
This 821-nucleotide ribosomal RNA is filed under the name uncultured fungus. RNAcentral describes it as "eukaryotic LSU rRNA". It matches the Rfam family "Eukaryotic large subunit ribosomal RNA", at positions 30 to 821 of the family's 3401-position model. The record is from RNAcentral. Lineage: Eukaryota; Fungi.